Long non-coding RNA from Amphiprion ocellaris (clown anemonefish), 477 nucleotides. Lineage: Eukaryota; Metazoa; Chordata; Actinopteri; Pomacentridae. The record is from Ensembl.
UGACGUUAGGAGGUGGAACAGGUUUUUAAACUGAAGUUUCACUGCUUCGUCAUUUAUGAUGGGAUCCAAUCUGGGAGCUGAAAUAUGAGGAACUUUGUUGUGGAGGCCUGGACCACGACGAAACAUUUCCCACAAGAGCUGUCCUGAAUGUUAAAGCCUGUCCACAGUGGGGUGAAGACUUAGCAGGAGACCAAACUGAACAGAAAAUACUUGUGGAAGAUGGAGCCACAAACCCCAUUUGACUCUAGAGAAAAUGCUGCAGGGAAUCCAUCACCACCACUUCUUCAGCCAAGUGUAUCUGAUCCCAACUAUGUCGACAGGCUCUAUGAUUUUUGCCAGAGAGAGAACAUCGCUAUAACACUUGAAGAGUCCAGUCCUAUCACUUACCAGUCAGCUUCUGCACUAAUUUGGAAAUCAUAUUUAUCAUGUCUUAUUCUACAAAGAAUUAAGGCUUUCAUGAUGUUACAGAGAACGCUG